Gasterosteus aculeatus aculeatus (three-spined stickleback) is the source of this 3404-nucleotide long non-coding RNA. The record is from Ensembl. Lineage: Eukaryota; Metazoa; Chordata; Actinopteri; Perciformes; Gasterosteidae.
CGGAAGCGUCCCGAGCCCCGGCGGUGCUGCAGCGGGGGGCCCAAGAUGGAGACCACGUCUAGGGUUUCAUUGUCGUGGACACAUUGAGUAAGUUUGUCCUAAAAGUUUUCUUUUUAAUUGAUUUUAGUUGAGCGUAAAUGGUUGGUCGACCAAAGUAAAAUUAGCGUCUCUACUCACUCUCGACAGACAUCUUCUUUAGACUAAACGAUUAAGGGUCAGAUUUCCAUAAUAAUCAGUUGCCUUAAUUAGUAGUUUUUUGGGCCAUAUUCUGUUUUGUAGUGACCAGCGCUGUAACCCCUUGUGUAUUUGUUCUGGACCUUGACAGUUUUGUGUGUGCACAAUACAUGAUGUGUAGAUUGCUGCGGAGCCAAAGUUCAAAAGCCCAAACUUUUCAGUCCUAUGCUGUUGUCAGCGCGUGCUAACGUUAGCACAACAAAGCUCAUGGUCGGCUCCUUGCUGCAACACAGAAGAAGAGAGUUGUGUGUUAUGCCAGUGAUCAAACUAUACCACGGUGCAACGGGGUCAAACAUUCCUCCCUUUUAUUUGAGAACGUAGUCUUACUUUGGCACCUGCACUUUUCUGUUCAAAGUAAACGCAAACCACCAGGAUGUGAACCCAGCCGUGCACUGCUGCCCUCAUCGUAGUCUUAAAAUAUAUUUUAAAGGAUGAUGGAUUUUGAAUACUUAAACUGAAAAAAGUAGUUUGUCAUCCCACGCGAGUGCGCACGUAGUGUGGAGAAACCGUCGCUGCGUGUCAUUGAUGUGGCGGAUGCCCACAUGAUUGCCUCAUCAGACAGUCCGAUGACGACGAUGAGGAGGAUGAUGUAAUCCUAAACACAGCAGGAUAUUUUUGUUGUUGUUGUUGUUGCAGCAGCUGCUGCAUCGGUCUUCCCUCCUCGCUGACUGGCAGGAGAUCCCCUGCUGCAGGAGGGUCGGCAGGAGAGAGACCGUAAGGUGACGACAGGAAGGCGGAACCAGGAGGAGGAGGAAAGCAAUACUGAUUUUUAAUUGGCUGUUUGGGGUUCGGUACACCGUGUACCCAGUAAAUGUUUAUGGGCCUGUUGCAGGCUGAUUGACAUCCUUGCAGGUUUUCUAUUAAUCUCAAUUCGGAGAGAGCCGGUGGAAAUACAUUUGCAUCUUAUUUUUACAUGCUUCAGUUUUGUCUAUGAAAGAAGAAUUGCCAUCUCUGUGUCUGCAGCUGAUGUGUUGAAACGUGGUUAAAAGUUUUCCACAUGUGGGGGAAACGCCCUCUUGCUUUUAUAGCAGGUACGCAGAUACACCUGAAUAGUUCCCGAAUGACUCAGCAGCACUCCUGCAGCCUCGGUGAGCCACCGCUAAACGCAAGAAACAGCUGCUGGGAAGGACAACGCGGUCCAAGUUAUCUCUGCUUUGAGUCUCGAGUGGGGCUUCCGAAAACACUGGCGCCUCAAUCUCCCACAAUGCACCUCCCAGGAGUUGGGUGUAUCUGGCCCAACGUGCUCGCGUGCUUCAAACCUCUCAGCGCCGUCUGCUGCGAUCCCUUUCUCGUCGAUCAGAUGCCAAUGAUUUUAGUGGAAGGUGUGACCGAACUUGACAAAGCCCAGAUGUCCCGGUGACUCUUUUGUGCGACACGAUUGUCAGUCGCUAUAAAAACAAAGCGCGUGCAGCUUAGUCCCAACUGUGAACUCAAACCUGCGUGCUGUUGAAGCUUGUAUCAAAGAUUCAUGGUGAAUUACUUUAUAUAACACUGAUGGCCACUGUAGGAAACAAACGGCACAACAAAAACCGAUAAAAGAAGCUCGUUCUCCUCCGUCGCUGUAAUGUGGAUGCUGCUCAGGUUCCCGGCGGACGGUCCUGAGGUCUGAGGCAUCUGAUUCCUGCUCCAGCUGGGAUUAAAUGGACGCAUCAGGCCGGUUACGUAACGCUGCUCUCUGCCAUGCAGCCUGCUUGGUGGAAGCCGCUGUCACGCAGCAUCGCUCUGUGGGCAUGAUUCCUGUUUUUGCAUGGACUCGAUGGGGCAAUCGUAUAUGAAUCUUCACAAAGGGCUUUUUCCUGUUUUUGGAAGGAGGAGGAGGAGGGUGUGUUUUGGGGAGAGCAACCCACUGAGAGUAAUGCAUGUGGACAGCGUAUGUGUUUUUGAAAGUGGGCGUGUGCUGAAGGCGAGCCCACGGGUCGGGUUGGGUGAGAGCGGAGCCGUAUAAAAGGCGCAGAAGCUCUCGGUAGCUCACGCUUCGUCUCUCUGUGGCAUCUGUCGGGGUUUCCAGCGUGGUCGGGAAGUGGAAGGUCCCGCUGGUCGGUUUUUUUCGGCCCGCCAUCCUCUCCUCCCCCCCCCCGUUACCUUUCUUCCGCCGAUCACAUCGGCCCCUGGAAGGUCUUGAAAGCUCUUCCCUCCGUUUGGCCCCCGCCUCACACCAACCGACAAUGAUCAUCCGACUGGGCCGACUGACACCCGGAUACUUCCGUCUCCUCCAGAGGCAAGUCGCCGGGGAGGUGCAGACGCAGCCGCGGGACCGCGCCGUCAACCAGCUGGCCAUGAUGCUGGCCAUCAUGGGCCUGAGUUUGUCCUACUACAGCGCCAAGCAGAUGACGGAGGACGUCCGCGCGCAGCCCGCGCCCUGAGGACACUCGCCCAGCCCGCUCGCGGAGAAGACGGGCGAGCCGAUGGGGGUAGAAGGAGGCGGGAGAAGGGGGGGUGUGGACUGGUUUGGGUGGGCGAUCAUAACCAGCCGACUGGCACCUGGGUCUGACCACUAGUCUCUUACAAAGGUACAUGCCUGCAAGAUGCCGUCAAUACUGUCCUGAGCGACGAAAAAGGGGACGCUCAUUUUGCCAGUUCUUCAAAGAGCGUCAAAUAAAAGCACAGUAAUGCCUUUGUUUUAAGCGAUGGGCUGACUGCAGUUGAGAUGUACCUUGUAAUGAAGUGAUGGCCGGCUCACAACAAGGCGGAAGGGGGCUAAUAAGUUAGCACAACACACUUUCUUUUUUUUGUUCUUCAUUAGAGAACCGUACAGAUCCAGAGCUUAAUUCAAAAACCGUCAAUGUGUAGAAAUGCUUGUAAAAUGUUUCUGUGUGGUGUCAGGUUCAUUUGAGUAGAUGUGCAAUAGUGCAGAAACAUUUUCUUUGAGUGCUACAUUGGCUCCUCAAAGGGACUUUAAGCAACUCCUCUUUUUAUGUUUGAUUGUUUUUUUUGAUCUCACACUACCGUAAAUCAAAGUCCCGUUGAGAUGAAUGACUACCUGUUUUCUUAAAGCACACUGAUUGAGAAACCUUCCUGCGAUCUCAUUCUACAUGCAGACCUUUUAACUUUAACUGAACAUUGCAUGUUUGUGCAGACUUUUAAUCGAGCGACAAUCUUGUUUUUAAAUGAUGGAUGAAUGUAUUACUCUGUGAAAGAUUUAAUAAAGCUGUGAACAUCUUGAAUGCGAU